Molecule: long non-coding RNA, 508 nt
Filed under: Mus pahari (shrew mouse)
Lineage: Eukaryota; Metazoa; Chordata; Mammalia; Rodentia; Muridae
Description: predicted gene 15956 (MGP_PahariEiJ_G0002678.1)
Source: RNAcentral
AUUACCAUGCCUGACUACAUCUUCGAUACUUCCCAAGUACUUGCGUGCUGGGCAACUUGUACAGGAAGCCCUUACAGAAUAAGCUGGUCCCAGAGUGCGCCUGUUGCUAAGCCCCAGGCAGAAGGGGUCUCACAGUACCCUCAGGAGACUGGCUGCUCCCCUUUAAGGCUACAUCAUGAAGAGUUAUGAGCUCACAGCCUGCUCCAGCAGAGCCCUGCCGCUGAUCACUGUUGUCUCUCGCAUGAUUUGCAUUCAGAAGCAAGCAUUAACACCUACACACGUGCUCUGAAAACUGUAUUCAACAGCAGCUAACAAAGUAAAAGGAAAGAAAGCAGCUUACAUUUGGCAUUGAGAGAGAUUGAUCCAAUCCGAUCUCUACUUUGUUCACCACCGCAAUACUGAAUGAUAGAACACCCACAAACACCGCUAUCUGGAAAAAAGCAAAUCACGAGACGAUUGCUAAUGUAAUCAUAAACUGAAGAAGAGAAAUAACGUCGGACACACCAAA